RNAcentral lists this ribosomal RNA (504 nucleotides) under uncultured bacterium. RNAcentral's name for it is "bacterial SSU rRNA". It matches the Rfam family "Bacterial small subunit ribosomal RNA", at positions 27 to 520 of the family's 1533-position model. The record is from RNAcentral.
GAAUGAACGCUGGCGGCGCGCCUAAUACAUGCAAGUCGAGCGGAGAAGACGUAGCAAAUACGUUUGUAAAGCGGCGAACGGGUGAGGAAUACAUGGGUAACCUACCCUCGAGUGGGGAAUAACUAGCCGAAAGGUUAGCUAAUACCCGCGUACGCUUCUUGGACUUCGGUUCAGGGAGGAAAGCGAUGCCGAGGGUAUCGCGCUCUUGGAUGGGCUCAUGUCCUAUCAGCUUGNGGUGAGGUAACGGCUCACCAAGGCUUCGACGGGUAGCUGGUCUGAGAGGACGAUCAGCCACACUGGGCACUGCGACACGGGGCCAGACUCCUACGGGAGGCAGCAGUAAGGAAUAUUGCGCAGUGGGCGAAAGCCUGACGCAGCGACGCCGCGUGGGGGAUGAAGGUCUUCGGAUUGUAAACCCCCUUUCGGGAGGGAAGAUGGAAUGGGGUAACCCAUUCGGACGGUACCUCCAGAAGCAGCCACGGCUAACUUCGUGCCAGCCCGCCG